This 373-nucleotide ribosomal RNA is filed under the name uncultured bacterium. RNAcentral's name for it is "bacterial SSU rRNA". It matches the Rfam family "Bacterial small subunit ribosomal RNA", at positions 527 to 898 of the family's 1533-position model. The record is from RNAcentral.
AGAGGGGGCAAGCGUUGCUCGGAAUCACUGGGCGUAAAGGGCGCGUAGGCGGGUCCGCAAGUCGGUCGUGAAAUCCUUCGGCUCAACUGAAGGGGGUCGGUCGAUACUGCGGGUCUUGAGGGAUGCAGAGGAGACUGGAAUUCCCGGUGUAGCGGUGAAAUGUGUAGAGAUCGGGAGGAACACCGGUGGCGAAGGCGGGUCUCUGGGCAUCUCCUGACGCUGAGGCGCGAAAGCGUGGGGAGCAAACGGGAUUAGAUACCCCGGUAGUCCACGCGGUAAACGAUGACGACUAGGUGUGGGGGGGUUUAGGCCUUUCCGUGCCGCAGCUAACGCAUUAAGUCGUCCGCCUGGGGAGUACGGCCGCAAGGUUGAA